GAUUAAGUUAUUAAGGGCGCACGGUGGAUGCCUUGGCACUAGAGCNGAAAGACGGCNGUUACUAACGACGAUAUGCUUUGGGGAGCUGUAAGUAAGCUUUGAUCCAGAGAUUUCCGAAUGGGGAAACCCAGCAUGAGUUAUGUCAUGUUAUCGAUAUGUGAAUACAUAGCAUAUCAGAAGGCACACCCGGAGAACUGAAACAUCUUAGUACCCGGAGGAAGAGAAAGAAAAUUCGAUUCCCUUAGUAGCGGCGAGCGAAACGGGAAGAGCCCAAACCAACAAGCUUGCUUGUUGGGGUUGUAGGACACUCUAUACGGAGUUACAAAGGACGACAUUAGACGAAUCAUCUGGAAAGAUGAAUCAAAGAAGGUAAUAAUCCUGUAGUCGAAAAUGUUGUCUCUCUUGAGUGGAUCCUGAGUACGACGGAGCACGUGAAAUUCCGUCGGAAUCUGGGAGGACCAUCUCCUAAGGCUAAAUACUCUCUAGUGACCGAUAGUGAACCAGUACCGUGAGGGAAAGGUGAAAAGCACCCCGGAAGGGGAGUGAAAUAGAACCUGAAACCGUGUGCUUACAAGUAGUCAGAGCCCGUUAAUGGGUGAUGGCGUGCCUUUUGUAGAAUGAACCGGCGAGUUACGAUUUGAUGCAAGGUUAAGCAGUAAAUGUGGAGCCGUAGCGAAAGCGAGUCUGAAUAGGGCGUUUAGUAUUUGGUCGUAGACCCGAAACCAGGUGAUCUACCCUUGGUCAGGUUGAAGUUCAGGUAACACUGAAUGGAGGACCGAACCGACUUACGUUGAAAAGUGAGCGGAUGAACUGAGGGUAGCGGAGAAAUUCCAAUCGAACCUGGAGAUAGCUGGUUCUCUCCGAAAUAGCUUUAGGGCUAGCCUCAAGUGAUGAUUAUUGGAGGUAGAGCACUGUUUGGACGAGGGGCCCCUCUCGGGUUACCGAAUUCAGACAAACUCCGAAUGCCAAUUAAUUUAACUUGGGAGUCAGAACAUGGGUGAUAAGGUCCGUGUUCGAAAGGGAAACAGCCCAGACCACCAGCUAAGGUCCCAAAAUAUAUGUUAAGUGGAAAAGGAUGUGGCGUUGCCCAGACAACUAGGAUGUUGGCUUAGAAGCAGCCAUCAUUUAAAGAGUGCGUAAUAGCUCACUAGUCGAGUGACACUGCGCCGAAAAUGUACCGGGGCUAAACAUAUUACCGAAGCUGUGGAUUGUCCUUUGGACAAUGGUAGGAGAGCGUUCUAAGGGCGUUGAAGCAUGAUCGUAAGGACAUGUGGAGCGCUUAGAAGUGAGAAUGCCGGUGUGAGUAGCGAAAGACGGGUGAGAAUCCCGUCCACCGAUUGACUAAGGUUUCCAGAGGAAGGCUCGUCCGCUCUGGGUUAGUCGGGUCCUAAGCUGAGGCCGACAGGCGUAGGCGAUGGAUAACAGGUUGAUAUUCCUGUACCACCUAUAAUCGUUUUAAUCGAUGGGGGGACGCAGUAGGAUAGGCGAAGCGUGCGAUUGGAUUGCACGUCUAAGCAGUAAGGCUGAGUAUUAGGCAAAUCCGGUACUCGUUAAGGCUGAGCUGUGAUGGGGAGAAGACAUUGAGUCUUCGAGUCGUUGAUUUCACACUGCCGAGAAAAGCCUCUAGAUAGAAAAUAGGUGCCCGUACCGCAAACCGACACAGGUAGUCAAGAUGAGAAUUCUAAGGUGAGCGAGCGAACUCUCGUUAAGGAACUCGGCAAAAUGACCCCGUAACUUCGGGAGAAGGGGUGCUCUUUAGGGUUAACGCCCAGAAGAGCCGCAGUGAAUAGGCCCAAGCGACUGUUUAUCAAAAACACAGGUCUCUGCUAAACCGUAAGGUGAUGUAUAGGGGCUGACGCCUGCCCGGUGCUGGAAGGUUAAGAGGAGUGGUUAGCUUCUGCGAAGCUACGAAUCGAAGCCCCAGUAAACGGCGGCCGUAACUAUAACGGUCCUAAGGUAGCGAAAUUCCUUGUCGGGUAAGUUCCGACCCGCACGAAAGGCGUAACGAUUUGGGCACUGUCUCAACGAGAGACUCGGUGAAAUCAUAGUACCUGUGAAGAUGCAGGUUACCCGCGACAGGACGGAAAGACCCCGUGGAGCUUUACUGUAGCCUGAUAUUGAAAUUCGGCACAGCUUGUACAGGAUAGGUAGGAGCCUUUGAAACGUGAGCGCUAGCUUACGUGGAGGCGCUGGUGGGAUACUACCCUAGCUGUGUUGGCUUUCUAACCCGCACCACUUAUCGUGGUGGGAGACAGUGUNNANGGGGGAGUNUGANUGGGGNGGUCGCCUCCUAAAAGGUAACGGAGGCGCUCAAAGGUUCCCUCAGAAUGGUUGGAAAUCAUUCAUAGAGUGUAAAGGCAUAAGGGAGCUUGACUGCGAGACCUACAAGUCGAGCAGGGUCGAAAGACGGACUUAGUGAUCCGGUGGUUCCGCAUGGAAGGGCCAUCGCUCAACGGAUAAAAGCUACCCCGGGGAUAACAGGCUUAUCUCCCCCAAGAGUUCACAUCGACGGGGAGGUUUGGCACCUCGAUGUCGGCUCAUCGCAUCCUGGGGCUGUAGUCGGUCCCAAGGGUUGGGCUGUUCGCCCAUUAAAGCGGUACGCGAGCUGGGUUCAGAACGUCGUGAGACAGUUCGGUCCCUAUCCGUCGUGGGCGUAGGAAAUUUGAGAGGAGCUGUCCUUAGUACGAGAGGACCGGGAUGGACAUACCUCUGGUGUACCAGUUGUCGUGCCAACGGCAUAGCUGGGUAGCUAUGUGUGGACGGGAUAAGUGCUGAAAGCAUCUAAGCAUGAAGCCCCCCUCAAGAUGAGAUUUCCCAACUUCGGUUAUAAGAUCCCUCAAAGAUGAUGAGGUUAAUAGGUUCGAGGUGGAAGCAUGGUGACAUGUGGAGCUGACGAAUACUAAUCGAUCGAAGACUUAAUCAA
Molecule: ribosomal RNA, 2923 nt
Filed under: Staphylococcus aureus
Lineage: Bacteria; Bacillati; Bacillota; Bacilli; Caryophanales; Staphylococcaceae
Description: 23S ribosomal RNA
Rfam family: Bacterial large subunit ribosomal RNA
Source: RNAcentral